UGUGAAUGAUGAUCCCUCAUGCGUGUCAGCUGAUCCCAGAAUCUUUCUCGGUUCCUCUUGGGUCCCCCGGCGUUCUGUCGGGAGGGCGUGAGUGGGCCUUAAGGGGUCUGGGACCAUGAUCAGUGGUUAGGGAGACUGAACAUG
This 144-nucleotide small nucleolar RNA is filed under the name Lepisosteus oculatus (spotted gar). RNAcentral's name for it is "Small nucleolar RNA SNORD10". It matches the Rfam family "Small nucleolar RNA SNORD10". The record is from Rfam by way of RNAcentral. Lineage: Eukaryota; Metazoa; Chordata; Actinopteri; Semionotiformes; Lepisosteidae.